This 74-nucleotide transfer RNA is filed under the name Fibrella aestuarina BUZ 2. It matches the Rfam family "tRNA". From Rfam's summary of the family: Transfer RNA (tRNA) molecules are approximately 80 nucleotides in length. Their secondary structure includes four short double-helical elements and three loops (D, anti-codon, and T loops). Further hydrogen bonds mediate the characteristic L-shaped molecular structure. tRNAs have two regions of fundamental functional importance: the anti-codon, which is responsible for specific mRNA codon recognition, and the 3' end, to which the tRNAs corresponding amino acid is attached (by aminoacyl-tRNA synthetases). tRNAs cope with the degeneracy of the genetic code in two manners: having more than one tRNA (with a specific anti-codon) for a particular amino acid; and 'wobble' base-pairing, i.e. permitting non-standard base-pairing at the 3rd anti-codon position. The record is from Rfam by way of RNAcentral. Lineage: Bacteria; Pseudomonadati; Bacteroidota; Cytophagia; Cytophagales; Spirosomataceae.
GGGCGAGUAGCUUAGAUGGCUAAAGCACCCGCCUUGCAAGCGGAAGACCCCCGGUUCAAGUCCGGGCUUGUCCA